AAUCUCCCACCCCAAGCGGUUUUUAAAUGAAACGGCUUGGCGGAUGGGGUCUGGAUGGGUGCCUCUGCCUGCGCUACCUAGCACAGGCUCGCCCGAAAUGCAUGAGCGCCUUGAGACACUUUGCAUCCGCCUCUCUGUUUGGGAGGAGGCGGCCAAGCAGUGUUUUUCUCCUGGCAUGGCAUGAUACGUCAUUUGCUAUGUCGCCUAAAGGAGGAAUGUUUGGUUGUGUCUGCGUGUGCUUCGAACUUGCCUCUGUGGCACAUCCCAAUUUCAC
RNAcentral lists this unclassified non-coding RNA (274 nucleotides) under Malassezia restricta. RNAcentral's name for it is "partial internal transcribed spacer 2". RNAcentral also lists the same sequence under 3 other names. The record is from RNAcentral. Lineage: Eukaryota; Fungi; Basidiomycota; Malasseziomycetes; Malasseziales; Malasseziaceae.